This 422-nucleotide ribosomal RNA is filed under the name uncultured bacterium. Its description in RNAcentral is "bacterial SSU rRNA". It matches the Rfam family "Bacterial small subunit ribosomal RNA", at positions 355 to 774 of the family's 1533-position model. The record is from RNAcentral.
UGAGGAAUAUUGGUCAAUGGACGGAAGUCUGAACCAGCCAUGCCGCGUGAAGGAUGAAGGCGUUCUGCGUUGUAAACUUCUUUUACCUGGGAAGAAACCACAGAUUUCUAUUUGUGUUGACGGUACCAGAGGAAUAAGCACCGGCUAACUCCGUGCCAGCAGCCGCGGUAAUACGGAGGGUGCGAGCGUUAUCCGGAUUUACUGGGUUUAAAGGGUGCGUAGGCGGGCUAUUAAGUCAGAGGUGAAAUCUCCGGGCUCAACCUGGAAACUGCCUUUGAUACUAUUAGCCUUGAAUUAUGUUGAGGUUGGUGUAAUAUAACAUGUAGCGGUGAAAUGCUUAGAUAUGUUAUGGAACACCGAUUGCGAAGGCAGCUGGCUAAACAUAUAUUGACGCUGAUGCACGAAAGCGUGGGUAGAGAACA